Molecule: transfer RNA, 73 nt
Filed under: Bos taurus (domestic cattle)
Lineage: Eukaryota; Metazoa; Chordata; Mammalia; Artiodactyla; Bovidae
Also listed under: 5 other names
Rfam family: tRNA
About the family: Transfer RNA (tRNA) molecules are approximately 80 nucleotides in length. Their secondary structure includes four short double-helical elements and three loops (D, anti-codon, and T loops).
Source: Rfam by way of RNAcentral
UCCUUGGUGGCCCAGUUGUUAGGACUUGGUGCUUUCACUGCCGCAGGCCUGGGUUCAAUCCCUGGUCAGGGAA